GACGAACGCUGGCGGCGUGCUUAACACAUGCAAGUCGAACGAUGAAGCUAGAGCUUGCUCUGGUGAAUUAGUGGCGAACGGGUGAGUAACACGUGAGUAACCUGCCCCGAACUCUGGGAUAACUGCUGGAAACGGUAGCUAAUCCUGGAUACGACCUACGAAGGCAUCUUCUGUAGGUGGAAAGAAUUUCGGUUCGGGAUGGACUCGCGGCCUAUCAGCUUGUUGGUGAGGUACUGGCUCACCAAGGCGACGACGGGUAGCCGGCCUGAGAGGGUGACCGGCCACACUGGGACUGAGACACGGCCCAGACUCCUACGGGAGGCAGCAGUGGGGAAUAUUGCACAAUGGGCGCAAGCCUGAUGCAGCAACGCCGCGUGAGGGAUGACGGCCUUCGGGUUGUAAACCUCUUUUAGUAGGGAAGAAGCGAAAGUGACGGUACCUGCAGAAAAAGCACCGGCUAACUACGUGCCAGCAGCCGCGGUAA
Molecule: ribosomal RNA, 484 nt
Filed under: uncultured bacterium
Lineage: Bacteria
Description: partial 16S ribosomal RNA
Rfam family: Bacterial small subunit ribosomal RNA
Source: RNAcentral